UCCAUACCAUGCUGAAAACACCGGCUCUCGUCCGAUCACCAAAGUUAAGCAUCAAUGGGAGCGAUCAGUACUUGUGUGGGUGC
Molecule: non-coding RNA, 83 nt
Organism: Trichonephila clavipes
Lineage: Eukaryota; Metazoa; Arthropoda; Arachnida; Araneae; Nephilidae
Source: the annotation of a GenBank genome assembly